CUUCCCAAGUGAGAAGCAGCAGGGUGGUGCAAGAUUUCAUCAUGCUUCUCAGAAUGACAUGCAAUUUAAGUCAUAUAAAUUGUUUAUUUCUGGAAUUUUUUAUUUAAUAUUUUUGUACAGCAGUUGACUGAGGUUGAAGGAAAAUUACCCUGGAUGGAAGAUCAGAGGUAUAGAAAGAAAUGGAGAGCAAAGAAAGAGAUGCUGUGGUGUGAAGUUGGGGUGUGUGGUACUCUUGAAGGCAUCAGGCUGAGGUGAAAGGAGAAAACCAAAGAACAAAGGUAACAUUCUAAGGAUGGCUGAAUGGACAGAUGAAAAGACUGUGCUGGAUUAACCAAUCCUAAUGUGUCCGGAAUUGGUGGGUUCUUGGUUUCACUGACUUCAAGAAUGAAGCCGCGGACCCUCUCCGUCAGUGUUACAGUUCUUAAAGGCGGCGUGUCCGGAGUUUGUUCCUCCUGAUGUUCAGAUGUGUUCGGAGUUUCUUCCUUCUGGUGGGUUCGUGGUCUCGCUGGCUCAGGAGUGAAGCUGCAGACCUUCGCGGUGAGUGUUACAGCUCUUAAGGCAGCGCAUCUGGAGUUGUUCCUUCCUCCCGGUGGGCUCAUGGUCUCGCUGGCUUCAGGAGUGAAGCUGCAAACCUUCGCGGUGAGUGUUAUAGCUCAUAAAAGCAGUGUGGACCCAAAGAGUGAGCAGUAGCAAGAUUUAUUGCAAAGAGUGAAAGAACAAAGCUUCCACAAUGUGGAAGGGGACCGGAGCAGGUUGCCACUGCUGUCUGGGGCAGCCUGCUUUUAUUCUCUUUUCUGGCCCCACCCACAUCCUGCUAAUUGGUAAAGCCGAGUGGUCUGUUUUGACAGGGUGCUGAUUGGUGCGUUUACAAUCCCUGAGCUAGACACAGGGUGCUGAUCGGUGUGUUUACAAACCUUGAGCUAGAUACAGAGUGCCAAUUGGUGUAUUUACAAUCCCUGAGCUAGACAUAAAGGUU
This 976-nucleotide long non-coding RNA is filed under the name Homo sapiens (human). Its description in RNAcentral is "non-protein coding lnc-PAPPA2-1:11". Lineage: Eukaryota; Metazoa; Chordata; Mammalia; Primates; Hominidae. The record is from RNAcentral.